CCUACGGGAGGCAGCAGUGAGGAAUAUUGGUCAAUGGGCGCGAGCCUGAACCAGCCAAGUCGCGUGAGGGAAGACGGUCCUAUGGAUUGUAAACCUCUUUUGUCGGGGAGCAAAAGACGCCACGCGUGGCGUUCCGAGAGUACCCGAAGAAAAAGCAUCGGCUAACUCCGUGCCAGCAGCCGCGGUAAUACGGAGGAUGCGAUCUUUAUCGGGAUUUAUUGGGUGUAAAGGGUGCGCAGGCGGAAGAUCAAGACAGCGGUAAAAUUGAGAGGCUCAACCUCUUCGAGCAGUUGAAACUGGUUGUCUUGAGUGAGCGAGAAGUAUGCGGAAUGCGGGGUGUAGCGGUGAAAUGCAUAGAUAUCACGCAGAACUCCGAUUGCGAAGGCAGCAUACCGGCGCUCAACUGACGCUGAUGCACGAAAGUGUGGGUAUCGAACAGGAUUAGAUACCCUUGUAGUC
RNAcentral lists this ribosomal RNA (459 nucleotides) under uncultured bacterium. RNAcentral describes it as "partial 16S ribosomal RNA". It matches the Rfam family "Bacterial small subunit ribosomal RNA", at positions 338 to 795 of the family's 1533-position model. The record is from RNAcentral.